Long non-coding RNA from Saccostrea cuccullata (small rock oyster), 341 nucleotides. RefSeq lists it as uncharacterized. The record is from RefSeq and is a predicted model, not a curated record. NCBI's taxonomy places the organism in Eukaryota, Metazoa, Mollusca, Bivalvia, Ostreida, Ostreidae. The transcript is spliced from 3 exons.
GUCUAUAAAGUCGUGUCCAUCAAAUUGGAUAUCAUUUGGAUCUUCGUGUUACAAUAUCAGUGCACAUGCGCAUUCGUGGGACAAAGCAGCUAUGGAGUGUCUACGGUGUGGUGCAAAACUAGUCGAGAUAGAGACAAAGGAAGAAAACGAUUUUCUGAAACAAAGAAUCAGCAGAUAUAGUGACUAUGACAGUUUUUGGAUCGGUGGAACAGAUAAAAUAAUAGAGGGAACAUUUGUCUGGGCCUCCACUGGAAGUUCUUUGAUGUUCACGGACUGGAACAGUGAGGAACAAAAUGACAUAAGAGGCAAUGAAGACUGCGUUGAAAUCUCCAAGACACAAG